UGCCAGCAGCCGCGGUAAUACGGAGGGUGCAAGCGUUGUUCGGAAUCACUGGGCAUAAAGCGCACGUAGGCGGCCAGGUAAGUGUGAAGUGAAAGCCCACGGCUCACCCGUGGAACUGCUUUGCAUACUGCUUGGCUAGAGGAAGGUAGGGGAGAGCAGAACUCUUGGAGGAGCGGUGAAAUGCGUAGAUAUCAAGAGGAAUACCAGUGGCGAAGGCGGCUCUCUGGUCCUUUUCUGACGCUGAGGUGCGAAAGCUAGGGUAGCGAACGGGAUUAGAUA
RNAcentral lists this ribosomal RNA (279 nucleotides) under uncultured bacterium. RNAcentral's name for it is "partial 16S ribosomal RNA". It matches the Rfam family "Bacterial small subunit ribosomal RNA", at positions 506 to 784 of the family's 1533-position model. The record is from RNAcentral.